RNAcentral lists this long non-coding RNA (2189 nucleotides) under Pan troglodytes (chimpanzee). RNAcentral describes it as "long non-coding RNA NONPTRT016939". Lineage: Eukaryota; Metazoa; Chordata; Mammalia; Primates; Hominidae. The record is from RNAcentral.
CUAAAAUAUAUGAAAGGAUGACCAUCAAUCAUGUAAAAGAUAUUUGUAAAAUGUCCGUAGUUAGAUACGAAUGUAACUUGAACAAACACAGUAUCUACUUGUCUAUUAAGGGAUAAUGUUGAGCAGCGGAUGAGAAAAGCCAGAAGUUUAGGAUUUAGAGACAUGCAAAAGUACUAAGAAAGGAGACUCAAUAGGAAACAUGGAAGGAGAUGGAAGCAAAGAGAGAGAAAAAGAAUGAGAGAACGGGAGAGAGAGAGAGACACUGAGAGAGAGAGAGGGUAUGUACCUCUAAAGUCGGGUAAGGAUCUUGGCCCCAGGGGCUGAAACUAGAGUGAUUCAUUGUUAUGGGCUGAAUUGUGUCUGCCCAAAAUUCGUAUGUUGAUGUCUUAAUCCUCAGUAACUCAGGAUGAGACGGUAUUUGGAGAUGCGGCCUUGAAAAAGACAAGUUAAAAUGAUGCCACUGGGGCUGGGUGCAGUGGCUCACACCUGUAAUCCCAGCACUUUGGGAAGCCAAAGCAGGAGGAUAGCUUGAGCUCCGGAGUUUGAGACUAUCCUGGGCAACACAGGGAGACCCCAUCUCUACAAAAAAAAAAAAAAAAAAAAAAAAAAAGCUGGGCAUCGUGGUGUGCACCUGUAGUUCCAGCUACUUCGGAGGCUGAGGCAGGAGAAUCACUUCAGAGAGGCUGAGGCUGCAGUAAGCUGUGAUCAUGCUACUGCACUCCAUCCUGGGUGACAGAGCAAGACACUGUUUCAAAAAAAUAAAUAAAAGCAAAUAAAAGUAUGCCAUUGGGUGAGCCCUAAUGCAAUCUGACUGGUAUCCUUAGAGAAGAGAACAUUUGGACACACACACAGAUACCAGGGAUGUGUGUGCAUGGAGGAAAGGCCACGUGAGGUCACAGGAAGAAGGCAGCUGUCUGCAAGCCCAGGAGAGAGGCCUCAGGGGAAACCAACGCUGCCGAUACCCCAUCUUAGACUUCCAGCCUCCAGAACUGAGACAAUGCGUGUUGUUUGAAGCCACCCAGCCUGUAGUAUUUUGCGAUGGCAGCCCAAGCAAACUAACAUCUUUAUCACAACCCCAUGGAGGAGGGUGUGGGAUUUCCCCACAGUGGAGCCCUAGGCUUGUCCUGCCACAUAUGACUCCACCACAGGGCAGGGCCCGAUGACGAUGCUGGCCUGGCGGGGGACUUGGCUGACCCGGCCUCCGCACAGGUGGACUAGUUCACAGAGCUUGGCCACUGGGGGGCUGCUGGCAGGCGAGACAAACAUCACUGGCUGGUCGGCAAAGAGGGUUCCGCGGUACGGCCCUGCAGACAAGUGGCACUCACUUCGGCACAGCUGUGGGGCAGACAGAGACAGAAUUACAGAGGUGGGACCACUCCAGUCUCCAUAGCGUAGGCGAACUGUUGCAGUUUACUUCCUUUUUUAUGAAAAGAAUAGACUGAAUGUAAGGCUGCCAUGCUCCUGUGAAUUUUGAAUUCUGAGAAUCCAGAGAAGAUGAUGACAUUAAUGACAUAAAACUGACAUUUUCUGAAGUAGCCAUGCGUAAAACUCCAAGGAAACAAAUUAGAAAAAAAAAAGUGUAGGCCUUUGAAUUAUUCCAAAGCCUCAAACAAAAUAUUGAAAAGCAACUGUUAGCACAGCAGAGCCAUAGCUAGGCUGAACUCUCACUGAAGUAACUUGGUGACGUGUGCAAGUGACGGCAAGAUUCUAAUGCACUGCAAAUGCCGGCUGUGCUGGGAGAGCGUCAUUCAAUCCAGCGCGCUCCAGGCUCUUGGCAGAAAAGGACUUUUAUAGGAUGUAAGAAAUGCUGUAAAUCCAAUACCAUGGUUUGGAUGGGGAAAGGGAGAGUGAGGCAAUGCAAAAGUAGAAUUCCUAGAGCCAUUCCCGAAACACGCUGGGUUUGGGGGAGAGAGGUGUCUCGAGAUUGUUUCAAUGAGCUGUUGGGAAACAUUUCAGAAGCAGGGAUGAGAAGCUGCUCUGCUUCUCAUUGUGGCAAUGUGUGGUCAUCUGUUUGACUCAGAGGACCGCGGGAAGGCCCAGUUAUUCUGAACACGCAUUUUCCUAACUACGGGUUGGUAAAGACUUCUUCAGUGUACGCACCCUGCGAGAUGCUAUGGGUUAUGUGCCAUCCACGUUUUGUUUUGCGUAUUUUCCCUGCUUAUUUUUCCUACAAUAUCUGAAAUUAAUGG